GUCGAUCCUACGCCGGUGGCAUGUCGUGUCAGAAAAAAACGCAAGACGGUCAGCGAGAUUAUGGAAGAAAAAUGGAAAACGUUGGUUUUUUCUCUAAAAAAGGAAAGUUAGCUAGUGGUGGUAUGCGCGGACAGUAUUGGAAGCGUCAUCAAGAUGCGCAACACUUAAAAUUUUUGGAAGAUAGCAUCGCCGAAUAUUUGGCCUCAAAAAAGCCAUCUUUAAUAGGCUGAAGGAGGCGAUAGUGAAUAUGGAAAAGUGAAAUACUUUUCAAAAAUAGUUAGUAAGGAGGUGCAUACUGAA
Caenorhabditis elegans is the source of this 300-nucleotide non-coding RNA. NCBI's taxonomy places the organism in Eukaryota, Metazoa, Nematoda, Chromadorea, Rhabditida, Rhabditidae. The record is from Ensembl.